AAUCAACGCUGGCGGCGUGCCUAACACAUGCAAGUCGAACGCGAAAGUCCCGCAAGGGAUUAGUAGAGUGGCAAACGGGUGAGUAACACGUGGGUGACCUGCCUUCGAGCGGGGGAUAACGUUCCGAAAGGAACGCUAAUACCGCAUAACAUCCUGCCUUUUAAGAGGCGGUGAUCAAAAGCCGGGGAUUCGCAAGAACCUGGCACUUGAAGAGGGGCCCGCGCCUGAUUAGCUAGUUGGUGGGGUAANGGCUUACCAAGGCAACGAUCAGUAUCCGGCCUGAGAGGGCGGACGGACACACUGGGACUGAGACACGGCCCAGACUCCUACGGGAGGCAGCAGUGGGGAAUUGUUCGCAAUGGGCGCAAGCCUGACGACGCAACGCCGCGUGGAGGAUGAAG
RNAcentral lists this ribosomal RNA (401 nucleotides) under uncultured bacterium. RNAcentral's name for it is "bacterial SSU rRNA". It matches the Rfam family "Bacterial small subunit ribosomal RNA", at positions 32 to 413 of the family's 1533-position model. The record is from RNAcentral.